RNAcentral lists this long non-coding RNA (5852 nucleotides) under Oncorhynchus mykiss (rainbow trout). RNAcentral describes it as "lncRNA (ENSOMYG00000072356.1)". The record is from RNAcentral. Lineage: Eukaryota; Metazoa; Chordata; Actinopteri; Salmoniformes; Salmonidae.
GUUAUGCUGCCAUCCCAGAAGAGGGCUCUGUUCCUCGACCCAAUGGGGGAAAGUGCCGGAAAGAUAAAAAGAUGCCAGGUCAAGGUCAUUUUACAAUGGAAUGAAUAGUCUUCGAAAUGCUAUGCUGUUAUUUACCUCUAUAUUGUAAUCAAUAAAGUGUUUCAAAAUGCUGUACUUGUAUUAACAUAUAUGUUCAGAUCAUUCCUGAGAGAGAAGGGGGGUAAAAUCUCCAAAUGGGCGUGUGGUACCCUUCCUCACCCAUGCCAACAAGAGGCUACUUCUUGUGGAGUCUUUGCCUUGAAAAUUGGUUGUGACUGCUGCCCACGAUGGUUUAACCAGUCCUGUAUGAAAACCAUCCCAUAAUUGGAGGAUUAUGUCUGCGCUGCCUGUCAGGACUAGGUUAGCCUUGAGUUCCAGGCGACGGUAUCACCUGGAAAACUUUCCAUAAAAAGUGGACUAAAUGUUCAGUCAAGCUGUUGCAGCUUUCCAAUAUUUGUUUGUUAUUUAUUGUGUUUUUAUAUUUGAUUUAUUGUCAUUUUAUAUCUUAUUAUGCAAAGAUCGAAAUAUGUGUUUCUUAUUUAAUGUUUGUUUACAAACUUCACUUUCUGUGAUGUUUUUGUGUUAUUGGGUGAUAAUAUUUGUGUAUUAUCUUUAUUUUAAACAUUACAAAAUGUUUCUAAAAUAAAUGUUUAUGUUUCUUUAUACUCUAAUAAUGCUUUCUGUGGCACACACCACUGGUCAACAUGAGUAACCAAAAUGAUUCUGAAGUGUGCCAGGCCUUGCUGUCCCAAGACAGAAGGGGAGGGGAGAAUUUUGGCAGGCAAGAAAAUAGCCUUGCCCCCCCUUCAAGUCGCAGUAAUGAAGAAUUGACGCAGCUGCUGCGAGUCAUGUCAUCACGGGUCAUGGUGACCGACCUAAACAUCAAUCCACUGCAGGUUCUGGAGAACUACUAUGUGUGCAGGUUUUCUUCCCAGUCCAGUACUUAUCUCGUCCACCUGCGGCUCUCUCACAAUCAUACCUGGGGAGGUGGUUCGCCCAGCACUAAUCAAAAUCGUGCUGAUGCAUCCUGGGACACACACGCUGGACAUGCUGAACUGCAGAGUGUCUGACUCUGCCCACCGACAAAUCCGGUGUCCGCUGCUCUGGAGGAUCUGUCUGCAGGGCUACCCGUGCAUCGCCUCAGAGGGUACUUAUUUGUCAUGCCCUGAUCUGUUUCACCUGUCUUUGUGAUUGUCUCCACCCACCUACAGGUGUCACCCGCUUUCCCUAUUAGUCCCUGGGUAUUUAUUCCAGUGUUCCCUGUUUGUCUGUUGCCAGUUCGUUUUGUCAAGUCAACCAGCGUUCUUUUCCAUGCUCCUGCUAUUUAUUAUCUCUCUUUUGCAGUCCUCCCGGUUUUGACACUUGCCUGCCUUGACUCUGAACCCGCCUGCCUGACCAUACUGCCUGCCCUGACCUCGAGCCUGCCUGCCACUUUGUACCUCCAUCUCUCUGACCUUAUGCCGGUCCAUAGCUAUUCUCUUGCCUGCCCCUUCGAUUAUAAUAAAUAUCAGAGACUCAAACCAUCUGCCUCCCAUGUAUCUGCAUCUCGCCCUUAUACUUAUUAACUACCAAAAGUAACCAUAUCUGUGUUUAAAAAUAUAGUUUGUAUAUACUUUGUAAAAUGUUUUACAACGUUUACUAUUCUGUUUGUCAGCACCUCUGCCAACAUUAUCUAGUGUGCAAUAGCUCAUGUUUUUACUGUAUUGUAAUUGUAUUGUAAACAGAGGUGGCCAAUACAAUUACAAUAAUUUACUAUACAACACUAUGACAAUGUAAUGUAAUACAAUUACAUAGCGCUCUACAACUUAAAUUAUGAUUUGUUGGUUCUCUGGGUUCAUCCUGUCAUCUGCAUAGGGGUUGUUGUCUUAACCCCAACCUGGCUUAGUUUCACAGAUGCCAGGAUGAUUUAGAGACAAUGAAGGAUUAUUCUAAACUCUUUCUGGCUAUCUCUAUCUCGGUUACACCCACCACAUCUUGUCUAUGGAAUGCAGUUUUUAACUCAUGUGUCAGCUCAAGCCAUCUCUAGUGACAAUACACCCAGAUUAGCUGCAGGGAUUGGACACCAUAAAGACACAGCAUUAGUAGAACAGAAAUAUCUUACUAUUAGUUAAAUAUGAAUUGUUAACCAUUAAUAUCAAAUAAAUGAAGUAAAUACUUAAUUUCUCUCACAACAUGUUCUCUGGAGUGACGAAUCACGCUUCACCAUCUCGCAGUCCAAUGGACAAAUCUGGGUUUGGUGGAUGCCAGAAGAACGCUGCCCGAAUGCAUUGUGGCAACUGUAAAGUUUGGUGGAUGAGAAAUAAUUAUCUGUGGCUGUGCAUUCGGGCAGGUAGCAUUCUCCUGGAAUCCGCCAAACCCAGAUUUGUCCAUCGCACUGUCAGAUGGUGAAGAGUGAUUAGUCACUCCAGAGAACGUGUUGCCACUGCUCCAGAGUCCAAUGGCGCCGAGUUUUACACCAUUCCAGCUGACACUUGGCAUUGCGUAAGGUGAUCAUAGGCUUGUGUAUGGCUGCUCAGCCAUGGAAACCCAUUUCAUAAUGCUCCUGACGUACAGUUAUUGUACUGACGUUGCUUCCAGAGGCAGUUUGGAACUCCGGUAGUGAGUGUUGCAACUGAGGACAGACAAUUUCUACUCGCUACAAGCUUCAGCACUCGGAGGUCUCGUUCUGUAAGCUUGUGUGGCCUACCACUUUGUGGCUGAGCCGUUGUUGCUCCUAGACAUUUCCACUUCACAAUUACAGCACUUACAGCACUUACAGUUGACUGGGGCAGCUCUUGCAGGGCAGAAAUAUGACGAACUGACUUGUUGGAAAGGUGGCAUCCUAUGACGGUGCCACUUUGAAAGUCAGAGCUCUUCAGUAAGGCCAUUCUGUUGCAAAUGUUUGUCUAUGGAGAUUGCUUGACUGUGUGCUCGUUUUUAUAUACCUGCCAGCGACGGGUGUGGCUGAAAUAGCCAAAUCCACUCAUUUGAAACGGUGUCCACAUACUUUUGUAUAUUUGGUGUAUAGCUGGUUAGUGCUUGUCCCCUGGCCAGUAUAUUGCCCAGAAUGUAAGAGACGGGCCACAGUUCUGGUCUUGUAUUCUAAAACCAACAAUUUGGAGUGAGCAGUCUGAAAUGCAUUUCUGUGGUUAAGUAAUGCUUACUUACUAUUGCAGCGUUUUCUAUAAUAAAGUUAUUUCUAUCAUUAUCCGAGCCAAAGCCUUGAAGGUAUCUAUUUGUACUAGUGCAAAGUGCUUUGCAAAUUUUCAUGUAACCGUUGACUUUCAGGUACAAAACUCCAAAAUGCUUGGUUAACAUUACCUGCGCUGAAGACACCUAUAUUCGUCUGCUAAAUAAGGACUAGCAAUGGCCCAGUGCAGUGCUUUUUGUGGGAAAAAAAUGUAAACUAAAUGUAUUGGCGUGUUUGCUAGCAUUUGUAACUUGAGUCUGAUAAUUAUCUGUACAAAACAGUUAGUCUAAUGAUACUUGUCGUACUCUAGAUGGCACGGUAUAAUUAACUUGACAAUGGAGACUGAUGUACUAUAACUUUUGGCUUUAAAUCUGAAGGGUGGCAAGAAUUGUCACUGUGCGCACUUCAAACUGAAAGACCGCUCAUUAACAUAUCCCCUUGACCUUCAACCUCAAGAGUGAUACUGAUUGGCUGUUAAACAUGGGAGUUAUGGACUAUCAUUAAAGGUGUAUAGCUCCAUAUAUUACACUUGUGGAAUAUAAAAAUACUUGCUUGAUAUGUUGGAUGUUUUAAAGAAACACCCCUCAAGAUAAGAGUGGAGCUGAAUGGAGAGCGAGAACUUUCUCUGCUGAGUUUAUAAAACUGUAAAGAGUGUUUUAUGUACAAUUGUCAACUAAAUUAGAUAAACUUCACUUUUUCAAUAGUAGUAAAAUCAAUCUGUUCUUUUGUUUUUUGAUAUGCAGUCUCUCCCUACUCAAGUGCUGUUGGGGUAUAUAAACUACAGAGUCAGAGAAUUUAUCCCAAGACCAAUGCAGUGUGAUAAUUGUAAAGAUGUUGGUCAUGUAGCAAGUGUUUGCAGAAGGGAGAAGCUGAGAUGUCCAAGUUUUGGAAAGGAUCAUAUUAUUUGAUAUAAAACUGUCCAGUUAGUGGUAGCAAUACAACUUUUUGGGUGUAGUUUGCCAUAAAACCCACAGAAGAAAAAGAAGAAGCUCUUCUAGUGGUGGUGUAGGAGGAGCUCCAUAGAAACCUUUGCAUACUAAGGUUGUGAUUUUCUUUCAGUUUCAGAUGUCAGAGUCACAGCACCAACAACAGUCACUCAAGGUAAUUUCCAUUUCAAACGUACAAUAGGUUUUAGGUUGAGGACAUUAACAAGUGCUUGUUGCGUGUGAUUUGUUUUAUAGCCUGCUUCCUGCUUUUGAGAACAAUGCCUUUUACUCAAACCAUUCAUCGAAAGUUCUCACUAGUGUGUCUGUCUCCUCUGAAAGGCGAGAACCUCUGAUUGUCAUUGAAAGAUGCUGGCAAGUGUGAAAAUAAUACAACCAAUCGACAGAUGUAACUCAUAUUAGUGAUAUGGGGGCUCUAUAGCCCAUUCAAUAGACGGUAAACAUAUAUCGUCUAUUCACGAAGCUGUCUGCUGCCUGAGGGAAAUUCCCCGAAGCUGCACAAAUGCUCUGUCUAAACGUCUGUACGCCUCGCUUGCAAUCCACCCCAAAACUAUGUUUUUGUAUUUGGUUCUUUAGUCCGUUGUUGACAUAGUCCCACAAUGUUUAGCUUGUCAGCAAUCAAGUUUUCAAGAUAUCUAACUUUCAAAAUACAGAAAUCAUCCCUGUAUGUUCACCUGUGUGUAACUGAAAAAUACUGUCAGCUGCAACUGGGUUAAAACAGUUUACAGUAAGUGUAUAUUUUGCUUUUCUGAAAUUAUUUUUGGUGUGAUAUGGAGGUAAAGUAGUUCGCAGAGAUCCAGCUGUGGUCCAUACGUUCUGCUGAGAACCCAAGACGGAAAGCUGUUAACCCCCCUUGGGUUCUCGAGAGCAAGGCAGUCUAUUGAAAUGAGCUGCUUACGAAUUAUUUCCUUGUCAGCACUUGUUAUUCAGUUACCUCCUAGAGGCAAUAUGAAAAACAGUUUAGGUUGUAGAAUUACAGUUCUGUGAUUUUUGGAAUGGCUAAGACAGAUGCUAUUGCUUUGAAUGAUCCUAAGCAGGGUUUGCCAGCCAACACAAAGGGGUAGCUACAUCAUAUCCAUGACAUCACCAGCAAUUUUCUCCAUUAGAAUACCCAUUGAAAGUGCAUUGUAGUCCAGGACUUGGCUUAACCUGGGUCUGGGGAAUCAGACCUUAUUGUUUGUCAUAACUACUGCUGUUCAUUUGUCAUUGAUUGCUCAACUGAACAUGACUUCAAAAUCAAGGCCAAAUGAAAUGCACUUCCCUCAGCUUUCACAAGAGCUUAAAAACUGCACAUUAGUCUCACAUCGGAUGUGUCUCGGAGAUAAGCAAGUUUCCCUUCCUCUGCUUGACUAAUGUUCGAAAGACAUUAACUGACAUUACUCAGUGCCAAAGUAGCUAUGGAAAUAAGAAGUUAUGGUUACAAAUGACCAGAAAACCUGAUGUAUCCAUUUCGGAUUUUAUUAUUUAUGUAAUUAGGUGGUAACAAUGCCUUCCCUGCGUGCACACACACACACAUACACACACACAUAUAAUGUCUAGCUGAAGAGAGAGAGGCGUCUCCAGAACUUGUAUGACUGUUGUGAUUUUUUUAGUUGUUAUAUAUAAUAAGGCAAGUCAGUUAAGAACAAAUUCUUAUUUACAAUGACGGCCUACCAAAAGGCCUCCUGCGGGGACUGGGGAUUAAAUAUAUUUUUUACAUU